CCUACGGGGGGCAGCAGUGAGGAAUAUUGGUCAAUGGGCUUACGCCUGAACCAGCCAAGUCGCGUGAGGGAAGACUGCCCUAUGGGUUGUAAACCUCUUUUGUCAGGGAGCAACGCCGGCUACGUGUAGCCGGACUGAGAGUACCUGAAGAAAAAGCAUCGGCUAACUCCGUGCCAGCAGCCGCGGUAAUACGGAGGAUGCGAGCGUUAUCCGGAUUUAUUGGGUUUAAAGGGUGCGUAGGCGGAAUGCCAAGUCAGCGGUAAAAUCGCGGGGCUCAACCUCGCUCCGCCGUUGAAACUGGCGUGCUUGAGUGGGCGAGAAGUAUGCGGAAAGCGUGGUGUAGCGGUGAAAUGCAUAGAUAUCACGCAGAACUCCGAUUGCGAAGGCAGCAUACCGGCGCCCAACUGACGCUGAAGCACGAAAGCGUGGGUAUCGAACAGGAUUAGAUACCCCAGUUAGUC
RNAcentral lists this ribosomal RNA (461 nucleotides) under uncultured bacterium. Its description in RNAcentral is "partial 16S ribosomal RNA". It matches the Rfam family "Bacterial small subunit ribosomal RNA", at positions 338 to 795 of the family's 1533-position model. The record is from RNAcentral.